UCCGUUCGAAACGCCAUUGUGUUCCGGAUUGAUAACAUUAUGCAGUGGUACAAAAUAGCUAUACACCGUUUAAUUUAACUCUUCUAACUAAGGAGAUGAAAUAGGAAUGGAAUCACCAAAACGCUUAGAAAAUAUGUCAAUUUUCUUCCUGUUUAAAGCUUUUAACUAACAUUGAUUAUCAGCUGUUUUGUACGGAAAACGUGGAAUCUAAAUAAUAUACCGUUUCCCUGCUCUGCUGCUAUUGGCAAUACAUUUUUGCAAUGUCAUCUGCAACAGACGAUCAUACAUAUGUGGCGGAUUAUCGAUAUAGAUACAGCUAGGUAGCAAUAGCAGUGGAAGCCCGGAUUUGCAAGCCAAAAUGAGGGAAAGACAGAAUUCUGAAAAGGAGCAUGUUUUUCAUUUCCACACAUGCAUGUGUAUCACUAUGGACAUCUAAUGUUUUUGUGGGAUUUUGUCCAGCAGUUUUGCCUUAAAAGAAUUUUUUUAUAUUUUAGUUUCAUAUUUAUGUGGAUUCCAAUAAAAAUCAUACAAACUUCAUUCAUGAUUUUUUUGUUUUUCAUUUCUAAACUUAAUAACAUUUCACUUUCAUAAGAAUUUUAAAACAGAAAUGUUUAAAAAUUUGAUAAAUAAGGGGUUAUCUGGAACCAGACUGAUAUUUUAAAAAUUCUCUAGAAAAUAGUGUAUUGUAUUUUGAGGUAUAUAAUUGUUGAAUACUGUGCCUAGUAUUGGUAACAAAUGCAUGCAACAAAAAUCUCCUACACUUAUUUGGUGUA
Molecule: long non-coding RNA, 773 nt
Organism: Magallana angulata
Lineage: Eukaryota; Metazoa; Mollusca; Bivalvia; Ostreida; Ostreidae
Exons: 3
Source: RefSeq, a predicted model, not a curated record